This 253-nucleotide ribosomal RNA is filed under the name uncultured bacterium. RNAcentral describes it as "partial 16S ribosomal RNA". It matches the Rfam family "Bacterial small subunit ribosomal RNA", at positions 524 to 776 of the family's 1533-position model. The record is from RNAcentral.
UACGGGGGGGGCAAGCGUUGUUCGGAAUUACUGGGCGUAAAGGGCUCGUAGGUGGCCAACUAAGUCAGACGUGAAAUCCCUCAGCUUAACUGGGGAACUGCGUCUGAUACUGGAUGGCUUGAGUUUGGGAGAGGGACGCGGAAUUCCAGGUGUAGCGGUGAAAUGCGUAGAUAUCUGGAGGAACACCGGUGGCGAAGGCGGCAUUCUGGACCGAUAUUGACGCUGAGGAGCGAAAGCCAGGGGAGCAAACGGG